UACGUAGGGGGCAAGCGUUAUCCGGAAUUACUGGGUGUAAAGGGUGAGUAGGCGGCAUGGUAAGCCAGAUGUGAAAGCCUUGGGCUUAACCCGAGGAUUGCAUUUGGAACUAUCAAGCUAGAGUACAGGAGAGGAAAGCGGAAUUCCUAGUGUAGCGGUGAAAUGCGUAGAUAUACGGAGGAACACCAGUGGCGAAGGCGGAUUGCUGGACAGUAACUGACGCUGAGGCGCGAAAGCGUGGGGAUCGAACAGG
This 253-nucleotide ribosomal RNA is filed under the name uncultured Eubacteriales bacterium. RNAcentral's name for it is "uncultured Clostridiales bacterium partial 16S ribosomal RNA". It matches the Rfam family "Bacterial small subunit ribosomal RNA", at positions 524 to 776 of the family's 1533-position model. The record is from RNAcentral. Lineage: Bacteria; Bacillati; Bacillota; Clostridia; Eubacteriales.